Molecule: small nucleolar RNA, 79 nt
Filed under: Thelazia callipaeda (thelaziosis nematode)
Lineage: Eukaryota; Metazoa; Nematoda; Chromadorea; Rhabditida; Thelaziidae
Description: Small nucleolar RNA SNORD53/SNORD92
Rfam family: Small nucleolar RNA SNORD53/SNORD92
About the family: U53 is a member of the C/D class of snoRNA which contain the C (UGAUGA) and D (CUGA) box motifs.
Source: Rfam by way of RNAcentral
AGCCAGUGAUGAUGAUACAAGGAUGGUUUCGCAGUUAUAGCUGAGUUAAUCAUGAGGAAUUCCUUGGCUGUCUGAGGCU